This 496-nucleotide ribosomal RNA is filed under the name uncultured bacterium. Its description in RNAcentral is "partial 16S ribosomal RNA". It matches the Rfam family "Bacterial small subunit ribosomal RNA", at positions 29 to 507 of the family's 1533-position model. The record is from RNAcentral.
AUGAACGCUGGCGGCGUGCCUCAUACAUGCAAGUCGAGCGAACAGAUGAGGAGCUUGCUCCUCUGACGUUAGCGGCGGACGGGUGAGUAACACGUGGAUAACCUACCUAUAAGACUGGGAUAACUUCGGGAAACCGGAGCUAAUACCGGAUAAUAUAUUGAACCGCCUGGUUCAAUAGUGAAAGACGGUUUUGCUGUCACUUAUAGAUGGAUCCGCGCCGCAUUAGCUAGUUGGUAAGGUAACGGCUUACCAAGGCGACGAUGCGUAGCCGACCUGAGAGGGUGAUCGGCCACACUGGAACUGAGACACGGUCCAGACUCCUACGGGAGGCAGCAGUAGGGAAUCUUCCGCAAUGGGCGAAAGCCUGACGGAGCAACGCCGCGUGAGUGAUGAAGGUCUUCGGAUCGUAAAACUCUGUUAUUAGGGAAGAACAAAUGUGUAAGUAACUAUGCACGUCUUGACGGUACCUAAUCAGAAAGCCACGGCUAACUACGUG